This 423-nucleotide long non-coding RNA is filed under the name Rosa chinensis. Its description in RNAcentral is "sRNA RchiOBHm_Chr5g0035451". Lineage: Eukaryota; Viridiplantae; Streptophyta; Magnoliopsida; Rosales; Rosaceae. The record is from RNAcentral.
UUUUUUUGGAGUGUUGGAGGAGAGAGAGCUAGUGGGUUAAUUUCAGUUGAAUCUGGGAAGGGUGUCCAAAACAAUUGUUGGAGCUGGAUUGCAGCAAUGGCGAAUUGGCUUCUAGUUUGGGAAAGAAGACUUGGUAAGGGCUUGGGUUAAUUGGAAAGUAGUGAUGCUCUGUUCGAAAUGGUUAUCAAUGAGUUGAUUGAGUUUGAAACUGAAAUGGGGUUGUUUUGGUGAUCUUAUGAUUAUUGUGUUACAUCUAUUAUAAACUUUGAUUGUUGGUGACCUUGGUAUGUGCUGAACGUGAUGAAAUUAGUAUGAAGUUACUUUGGUUAACAUAACUUUGGAAAGAAAACGAUGUUGAUGAAAUAGUGAAGGGUUUGUUCAAAGCCAUAUGUUUUGUGCAAAUGGAAUGAGUUAAAUUGAUUU